RNAcentral lists this long non-coding RNA (547 nucleotides) under Homo sapiens (human). RNAcentral's name for it is "non-protein coding lnc-GPR75-ASB3-7:1". Lineage: Eukaryota; Metazoa; Chordata; Mammalia; Primates; Hominidae. The record is from RNAcentral.
CUGACCUCAAGUGACCUGCCCGCCUCAGCCUUACAUCAGGUUUUUUAUGCCUGAUGUUAGCAUUCUUGGUAAUUUUAAGAUGAUAAUCUUAGUGAUAAAUUUUAGUAUCCAGGUUAUUUACUGCAGAACAGUAAAGUACGCUGUUUGUUAUCCUAAGUUGACAGGUAUUUUUUUAGUUUUUUAUGUUGGUUCAAGUAAGCUGCCCUUAUUUGCAGUAGAAUAUUUUGAGUUGGUUUGCAUGAAGUUCAUCAGGGAAUUGUUUUUGACUCUUAUUUAAAGGUAGAAUUUAUUUUUGUCAGCAAGUUGACUAUAAACUGUAUUAGUGAUUUACGUAUAGGCUUGGGCCUGUUGACCUCUGUUUUUACAGUAUGAUGUGGGUACUGACAUUUUUACUCUUUUAUCUGGACAGGGUGGACCAAGUAAGCUAGUGCAAAAACACUUAGCUGGUUUGUUUAACAGCAUCACAUCUUUUUACCAUCCUUCAAAUAAUGGGCGCUGGCUGAACAAGUUAAUGAAACUACUUCAGCGGUUGCCAAACAGUGUUGUU